This 45-nucleotide non-coding RNA is filed under the name Trichobilharzia regenti. Lineage: Eukaryota; Metazoa; Platyhelminthes; Trematoda; Strigeidida; Schistosomatidae. The record is from RNAcentral.
AUCGAGAUGACGAGUCCCAUAUAAGACGAAGUGCGCGUCCUCUAU